This 214-nucleotide ribosomal RNA is filed under the name uncultured bacterium. RNAcentral describes it as "partial 16S ribosomal RNA". It matches the Rfam family "Bacterial small subunit ribosomal RNA", at positions 1287 to 1500 of the family's 1533-position model. The record is from RNAcentral.
CCCAGUUCGGAUUGUAGUCUACAACCCGACUACAUGAAGCUGGAAUCGCUAGUAAUCGCAGGUCAGCAUACUGCGGUGAAUACGUUCCCGGGUCUUGUACACACCGCCCGUCACACCAUGGGAGCCGGAAAUGCCCGAAGCCAGUGACCCAACCUUAGGGAGGGAGCUGUCGAAGGUGGAGCCGGUAACUGGGGUGAAGUCGUAACAAGGUAAC